CCUGUGAGGGUUGCUGGAGGUAUCAGAAGUGCGAAUGCUGACAUAAGUAACGAUAAAGCGGGUGAAAAGCCCGCUCGCCGGAAGACCAAGGGUUCCUGUCCAACGUUAAUCGGGGCAGGGUGAGUCGACCCCUAAGGCGAGGCCGAAAGGCGUAGUCGAUGGGAAACGGGUUAAUAUUCCCGUACUUGGUGUUACUGCGAAGGGGGGACGGAGAAGGCUAUGUUGGCCGGGCGACGGUUGUCCCGGUUUAAGCGUGUAGGUGUGUGUUCCAGGUAAAUCCGGUUCACUUUAACACUGAGGCGUGACGACGAGGCACUACGGUGCUGAAGCAACAAAUGCCCUGCUUCCAGGAAAAGCCUCUAAGCAUCAGGUAACACGAAAUCGUACCCCAAACCGACACAGGUGGUCAGGUAGAGAAUACCAAGGCGCUUGAGAGAACUCGGGUGAAGGAACUAGGCAAAAUGGUGCCGUAACUUCGGGAGAAGGCACGCUGACACGUAGGUGAAGUGAUUUACUCAUGGAGCUGAAGUCAGUCGAAGAUACCAGCUGGCUGCAACUGUUUAUUAAAAACACAGCACUGUGCAAACACGAAAGUGGACGUAUACGGUGUGACGCCUGCCCGGUGCCGGAAGGUUAAUUGAUGGGGUCAGCGCAAGCGAAGCUCCUGAUCGAAGCCCCGGUAAACGGCGGCCGUAACUAUAACGGUCCUAAGGUAGCGAAAUUCCUUGUCGGGUAAGUUCCGACCUGCACGAAUGGCGUAAUGAUGGCCAGGCUGUCUCCACCCGAGACUCAGUGAAAUUGAACUCGCUGUGAAGAUGCAGUGUACCCGCGGCAAGACGGAAAGACCCCGUGAACCUUUACUAUAGCUUGACACUGAACAUUGAGCCUUGAUGUGUAGGAUAGGUGGGAGGCUUUGAAGUGUGGACGCCAGUCUGCAUGGAGCCGACCUUGAAAUACCACCCUUUAAUGUUUGAUGUUCUAACGUGGACCCGUAAUCCGGGUUGCGGACAGUGUCUGGUGGGUAGUUUGACUGGGGCGGUCUCCUCCUAAAGAGUAACGGAGGAGCACGAAGGUUGGCUAAUCCUGGUCGGACAUCAGGAGGUUAGUGCAAUGGCAUAAGCCAGCUUGACUGCGAGCGUGACGGCGCGAGCAGGUGCGAAAGCAGGUCAUAGUGAUCCGGUGGUUCUGAAUGGAAGGGCCAUCGCUCAACGGAUAAAAGGUACUCCGGGGAUAACAGGCUGAUACCGCCCAAGAGUUCAUAUCGACGGCGGUGUUUGGCACCUCGAUGUCGGCUCAUCACAUCCUGGGGCUGAAGUAGGUCCCAAGGGUAUGGCUGUUCGCCAUUUAAAGUGGUACGCGAGCUGGGUUUAGAACGUCGUGAGACAGUUCGGUCCCUAUCUGCCGUGGGCGCUGGAGAACUGAGGGGGGCUGCUCCUAGUACGAGAGGACCGGAGUGGACGCAUCACUGGUGUUCGGGUUGUCAUGCCAAUGGCACUGCCCGGUAGCUAAAUGCGGAAGAGAUAAGUGCUGAAAGCAUCUAAGCACGAAACUUGCCCCGAGAUGAGUUCU
This 1569-nucleotide ribosomal RNA is filed under the name Salmonella enterica subsp. enterica serovar Typhimurium var. 5-. Its description in RNAcentral is "bacterial LSU rRNA". It matches the Rfam family "Bacterial large subunit ribosomal RNA", at positions 1260 to 2812 of the family's 2925-position model. The record is from RNAcentral. Lineage: Bacteria; Pseudomonadati; Pseudomonadota; Gammaproteobacteria; Enterobacterales; Enterobacteriaceae.